This 679-nucleotide ribosomal RNA is filed under the name uncultured bacterium. Its description in RNAcentral is "bacterial SSU rRNA". It matches the Rfam family "Bacterial small subunit ribosomal RNA", at positions 59 to 749 of the family's 1533-position model. The record is from RNAcentral.
CAGUCGAACGAGAGAAGAUCGGUGCUUGCACUGAUCCGAUCGAGUGGCGGCCUUGUGAGUAACGCGUGGGUAACCUGCCUCAUACAGGGGAAUCAUUGUUGGAAACGGCUGCUAAAACCGCAUAAGCGCACAGUAUCGCAUGAUACAGUGUGAAAAACUCCGGUGGUAUGAGAUGGACCCGCGUCUGAUUAGCUAGUUGGUGAGGUAACGGCCCACCAAGGCAACGAUCAGUAGCCGGCCUGAGAGGGUGAACGGCCACAUUGGGACUGAGACACGGCCCAAACUCCUACGGGAGGCAGCAGUGGGGAAUAUUGCACAAUGGGGGAAACCCUGAUGCAGCGACGCCGCGUGAGUGAUGAAGUAUUUCGGUAUGUAAAGCUCUAUCAGCAGGGAAGAUAAUGACGGUACCUGACUAAGAAGCACCGGCUAAAUACGUGCCAGCAGCCGCGGUAAUUCGUAUGGUGCAAGCGUUAUCCGGAUUUACUGGGUGUAAAGGGUGCGUAGGUGGUGAGACAAGUCUGAAGUGAAAAUCCGGGGCUUAACCCCGGAACUGCUUUGGAAACUGCCUGACUAGAGUACAGGAGAGGUAAGUGGAAUUCCUAGUGUAGCGGUGAAAUGCGUAGAUAUUAGGAGGAACACCAGUGGCGAAGGCGACUUACUGGACUGCUACUGACACUGA